GCGCCCAUAGCUCAGCUGGUAGAGCAGAUCCCUCUUAAGGAUAAGGUCGAAGGUUCGAUCCCUUCUGGGCGCACAA
RNAcentral lists this transfer RNA (76 nucleotides) under Candidatus Nomurabacteria bacterium RIFCSPHIGHO2_01_FULL_42_15. RNAcentral describes it as "tRNA-Lys". It matches the Rfam family "tRNA". From Rfam's summary of the family: Transfer RNA (tRNA) molecules are approximately 80 nucleotides in length. Lineage: Bacteria; Candidatus Nomuraibacteriota. RNAcentral also lists the same sequence under 1 other name. The record is from RNAcentral.